GUAGGGAAUAUUGGGCAAUGGAGGCAACUCUGACCCAGCCAUGCCGCGUGCAGGAUGAAGGCCCUCUGGGUUGUAAACUGCUUUUAUCUGGGAAGAAACCUUUGGAUUCAUCUGAAGCUGACGGUACCAGAGGAAUAAGCACCGGCUAACUCCGUGCCAGCAGCCGCGGUAAUACGGAGGGUGCAAGCGUUAUCCGGAUUUACUGGGUUUAAAGGGUGCGCAGGCGGACUGUUAAGUCAGUGGUGAAAGCCCCGGGCUCAACCUGGGAAUUGCCAUUGAUACUGGCGGUCUUGAGUACAGUAGAGGUAGGCGGAAUGCAACAUGUAGCGGUGAAAUGCUUAGAUAUGUUGCAGAACACCGAUUGCGAAGGCAGCUUGCUAUGCUGUUACUGACGCUCAGGCACGAAAGCGUGGGGAUCAAACAGGAUUAGAAACCCGUGUAGUCC
Molecule: ribosomal RNA, 445 nt
Filed under: uncultured bacterium
Lineage: Bacteria
Description: partial 16S ribosomal RNA
Rfam family: Bacterial small subunit ribosomal RNA
Source: RNAcentral